Molecule: long non-coding RNA, 986 nt
Filed under: Setaria viridis
Lineage: Eukaryota; Viridiplantae; Streptophyta; Magnoliopsida; Poales; Poaceae
Description: long non-coding RNA (SVIR_LNC005778)
Source: RNAcentral
GCUUCUCCGUUUCGCUGACAGGUGCGUCGUCGGCUAUACUUUGACCUGCAUAUACAUUACUGUUCUGCAUUACUAUCAUAAUAGUGCUGUUAGUUUCACUUUCAUGCAACCUUAUAAAUUAAGGCAUUAAGCUGCGUUAUCUUAUCGCCCUCAGCCCCCAUCAGCUUAUGCCAUAAUAGCGUUGUCGUUGCACCUAACCUGAUGGCUUGGGUUCUUAACGCUGCAGUGAAUUCUGUCGCCUGCUGCUCAUUAUCCACCACUUGGUCGAUGCAUGCCGAUGUCGCUGCUGCUCCUGUUGCCUGUAACCUAAUGGAAGCAGGGCUGUAAUGGCAUGCUUAAAUUUCCCUGUCGACAGGCAGGGGAGUUCGUUGCAACUUUAUUGCCUGCAAUUGCAGCCGCUCAUCACAUGCCUAGUACUCCCAACAGCAAGUGACAAACUCUCCUGCUGCAGUCUGCAAAGCCUGAAGCUGGAGCUGUUCCAGUUAGCAGAGAGGAAUUAAACGGCCAAGAAAGACUGGCUCUCACUUCUUGGUAGGUGUUCUGCUCCCAACACGCUUGGCUUGACCAUUCUAGGAGAUUCUUCUCUUUUCGGCUUUCGGUGGCUGGCCGUGUUCCUCCUCAGUCCUCAUGCACGGCCAUUAGAUUCUACUGUGGUGUAGGGGCAGUGAAGGAGGCCAGCGAGGUGGGCCUGGUGAUCUCGUCGAGUGUAAGGCUGGGAAAUUGCAUGCAUGGAUGGGUGGAUUAGAUGCUUGCGCUUUACUGCAACAUGGAUGAUGUAACUUGGACGUGAAGGAAGGGACAAAUGCCUUGGGAGGAAAAAGAAACAAAACACCUCUCUAGAUUCUAGAGAUGGUACUACUAAAUAGCAUGGCAUUCCCCUAAAUCCCGUCGUCUCUUGGGUUUCUUAGUCCGUUUUCACUCUCUUAAGGCGCGAUCGAUUGUUUCCCGAGGCGUCUGAUUGCUUCUUGCAUUGCUUCAACGUUGGU